GAUUAUUUAAGACUAAUUGUACUUGAAUAGGAUAUAUUAACUCAAUAUAGCCAUAUUAAGUUAUUGCACUCGUGUGAUAAUACUACAUACACUUGAAUAGGAUAUAUUAACUCAAUAUUGUUGUUUGGUAUAGAGAAUGAGCCGAUUUGGCCAAGAAAAGUUUAUCAUUUUGCUUCGUCCCCUCAAGUACCCGUCCACCGUAGUUAAUUAAAAAUCGACCCAAGUCUCACAGUGGUUCAAACUUACUAGAGGUGGCAAUUGUGUCCUGUUUAAUUAUGAAUGUACUUGCAACCUACAGAAACCAAGGUAACGUACAAGCAAAUACAAUUUUGUGAAUGUAUUUCUCUUCUUUAACGUAUAUUCAUUAAUGGCUGUGGAAUCCUAUAAAGGUGUUUAUGAUCUGUUGGGACGAACGAAAGAUCAAAUAAGAA
This 431-nucleotide long non-coding RNA is filed under the name Helianthus annuus (common sunflower). Lineage: Eukaryota; Viridiplantae; Streptophyta; Magnoliopsida; Asterales; Asteraceae. The record is from RNAcentral.